RNAcentral lists this ribosomal RNA (253 nucleotides) under uncultured bacterium. RNAcentral describes it as "partial 16S ribosomal RNA". It matches the Rfam family "Bacterial small subunit ribosomal RNA", at positions 524 to 776 of the family's 1533-position model. The record is from RNAcentral.
UACGGGGGGGGCAAGCGUUGUUCGGAAUUACUGGGCGUAAAGGGCUCGUAGGCGGCCAACUAAGUCAUACGUGAAAUCCCUCGGCUUAACCGGGGAACUGCGUCUGAUACUGGAUGGCUUGAGUUCGGGAGAGGGAUGCGGAAUUCCAGGUGUAGCGGUGAAAUGCGUAGAUAUCUGGAGGAACACCGGUGGCGAAGGCGGCAUCCUGGACCGAUACUGACGCUGAUGCACGAAGGCCAGGGGAGCAAACGGG